RNAcentral lists this long non-coding RNA (1153 nucleotides) under Phasianus colchicus (ring-necked pheasant). RNAcentral describes it as "lncRNA (ENSPCLG00000017174.1)". Lineage: Eukaryota; Metazoa; Chordata; Aves; Galliformes; Phasianidae. The record is from RNAcentral.
AUCCAACCCCAUAUCCAUCCCCAUCUAACCCCAUAUCCAACCCCAUAUCUAACCCCAUAUCCAUCCCCAUCUAACCCCAUCUAACCCCAUAUAACCCCCCAUAGAUACCCAGCAGCGCCACCCAGUGGUCACACUCUGUAAUUACACCCCUACCCCCCCCAACCAAACCCCAUAUCUGACCCCCUAUACAACCCCAUAUCUGACGCCCUAUACGACCCCAUAAAUGACCCCACAUCCCAUAAUUUCCCCCCCUAGGGAGGUGCAGCUGACGGAGGACGCAGUGCGGCGCUACCUGGCCCGGAAGCCGAUGACCACCAAGGAUCUGCUGAAGAAAUUCCCGGCGCGGCGCACGGCGCUGAGCUCGGAGCAGACGGUCAACGCUUUGGCACAGAUCCUAAAGCGGCUCAACCCCGAGAGGAAGGUGAUAGGGGACAAGAUGCACUUCUUCCUCAAGGAGUAAUUUGGGGGGGGGCCUGGAAAUGGGGGGGGGAACAAAUGGGGUCUGAAGAUUGGGAAUCUCCAAUGGAAAGUUGAUGGAAACCCUAUGGAACCCAAUGGGACUCAAUGGGCACCCUAUGGGAACCCAAUGGAAUCCAAUGAAAGCCCUAUGGGAACCCAAUGGAACCUAAUGGAAACCCAAUGGAACUCAAUGGAACCCAAUGGAACCCUAUGGAAUCCAGUGGAACCCAAUGGGAACCCAAUGAAACCCAAUGGAACCCUAUGGGAACCCUAUGGAACCCAAUGGAACCCUAUGGAACCCAAUGGAACCCUAUGGGAACCCUAUGGAACCCAAUGGAACCCUAUGGGAACCCUAUGGAACUCAAUGGAACCCUAUGGAACCCAAUGGAACCCAAUGGAACCCAAUGAAACCCAAUGGAACCCAGUGGAACCCAAUGGAACCCUAUGGAACCCUAUGGAACCCAAUGAAACCCAAUGGAAACCCUAUGGAACCCUAUGGAACCCAAUGAAACCCAAUGGAAACCCUAUGGAAACCCUAUGGAACCCAAUGAAACCCAAUGGAACCCAAUGGGAACUCAAUGAAAAGCCAAUGGAACCCAAUGGAACCCUAUGGAACCCUAUGGAACCCAAUGGAACCCAAUGGAACCCAAUGGGAGUCAAUGGGAGUCAAUGGGAGUCAGCCCCAUGAGGAGGG